CGAGGAAGUUCGCGCGGCGCACCUGCCGGGAGCGGCCUUUCUGUCUAAGGCUUGAGAGUGGGAGGGCAAUAGGCGGGACACGGGCGUGUCGCGGGCGUUCCCUAGGUGCGGCCAGUUAAGUUUCGGUUUCCUUGAUCGGAGGCCAUGUUGCGCCUGCGCAGUUGGUCUGUAUUGUUCCCGGGCGUGGGCUGCAUUUUCCCGGCCAGGAAUCAAGGACCUCUACUGCACGAAAAAUGCUGAUUGCUGUCACAUAGACCUCAAACAGAAUGGAAUCUCAGACGGACCAGAACCAGAAAGUAGGUCCGUCUACUCAUCACAGUACUAUGGAUUGUUAACAAGUGUUAACCGACACAAUCUGUAGCUGAUGAGUUUACAGGUCAGUUUAUUUUUAUUUUACCUGUAUUUUCUGUAAUGAUCAAGAAUUCCUUUAUAUAGGCAAACAAUAUUAAAAAUUACAAAUAUUUUACAAGGCAUAAAAACAGUAGGGGAGGAGAAAAGGAAGGAAUAUAGAAAAGAAAAACUCAAAUGUAAAAUGACCAAAGUGUAGAAGAACUUAGGAGCAAUGAAAAAUAUGGGAUGUGGGGAGGGAAUGUAGGAAGGCUGAAUAAGAACUGAGGGAGAAAGUUUCUUGUGGGUGGGUGGAAAAAUGGUGAGCUGAACUGGGAACAUUGACUGAAGAGCUGGGUGAUACUUUAGGGAAAUAAAAGGAUGGUGAAGACAUAUAGAAAGAAGUCUGAUAACACAGAAGGAAUUCAGAAUCCCAUUAGACAAAUUUAACAAAGGGAUUGCAAUAAUUAAA
RNAcentral lists this long non-coding RNA (799 nucleotides) under Papio anubis (olive baboon). RNAcentral describes it as "lncRNA (ENSPANG00000050581.1)". The record is from RNAcentral. Lineage: Eukaryota; Metazoa; Chordata; Mammalia; Primates; Cercopithecidae.